RNAcentral lists this non-coding RNA (172 nucleotides) under Mycoplasmatota bacterium. Lineage: Bacteria; Bacillati; Mycoplasmatota. The record is from RNAcentral.
UAAUCGAAUCGACAUGAUGGUGCUGAUGAAGCCUAACAGGGAAUCAAGUGAUAAUCUUGAGCUGUCCCAGCAACCGUGAUACGGACGAAAUGCGAAUGACCACUGCUAAAGCGGGAAGGUGCAGAGUAGGAUGAUGUUAAGCCGGGAGACCUACCACAUAUGUCAAAGCGAG